Molecule: long non-coding RNA, 1238 nt
Filed under: Rosa chinensis
Lineage: Eukaryota; Viridiplantae; Streptophyta; Magnoliopsida; Rosales; Rosaceae
Description: sRNA RchiOBHm_Chr1g0314401
Source: RNAcentral
GGCCGCGGGAACGGAUGCCUACCACCCGGCGCGGUCCUCAAAAGAAGACGGUGCAGCCGACGGGGACUGCCACCGAGUCCCGGGGUGAGCCGCCGGUGCGGGUGACGAGGACCGCUGCUGGGACACAACGGGCGUUGGAGAAAAAAUGCCGGCAGCCUGACUCCCCCGUCGAGGAAGAGGAAGAAGAGGUGGUGAUCGGAGUCCGCCAACAAAAGAAGGCUCGACAAGCUGCGUCGAAGGGUGCAGUGGCGGAGGGGGAGGCAGCAGCCGUCAGUGAUCUGGACUCCUUUGCCGAGUAUGCGCCAUUCAUGACAGAAGGGGAGCGGGCAUUCCUUUUCCAUCUGUGCGAGCGGCUGGGGUUCGGGGGUCUGGCGGGCAUAUCGCGCCCGACGGCAAUUGACCAAUCGCCCUUCAGCUCGGCGUUUGGUCAAAUAUCUGCGGGGUUACAUGAUAUGUUCGAGGCGGCGUCUAAGCAGCCCCGGAUUGAGGAAGAGCUCAGGGGGGAGAUCGGAGGUCUCCAGAGGGAGCUGGCGGAGGCCAAGGAGAGAUUGGCGGAGGCCGAGCAGGGGCUGGCCAAGGCGGAGUGUGACUAUGCGGACGCCCGCGGCAAGCUUAAUGCGGCCAUAAGGCGGGACCUGGAGAGGAAUGAACGCGUCUCCCAGUUGGAGCAGGAGAUCGCAUUGCUGCAGGAGCGGAUAGCCGCUAAAGAUAAGAAGCUCAUUAUUGUGCAGCGGGAGUCUGCCGCCAGACUGGGUGAGAUGCAGCGGCUGGACGGGGAGGUCAACCGCCUGAAAAAUGAACAGAGUUCUUCUGCAGCCGCCGCCGUUGAAGCGUUCAAGAUGUCGGCGGAGUAUAAAAAGACAUUGACCGAAGCGGCGAAGUCUGGGGCCCGGGCAAAUAUAGACAUGUUGACGCGGAAGGGCGCCAUUGACUUUGUAAAGGCGUCACAGCCCGACGUGCCGGUGGUCGAUGGUGUCCCGCCGGAGACAGAAGUCGUGCCUCCCACUGCGGCAGGUACCCAUUCGGGCAGCGGGGAAAGUAGCUCCCAUCCGCCGGAAAGGUCCCGUCAGACUCCCCAGCAGACCCCGUCGGAGGUGUCACGUGCCGGAUUUCUGGAGGCACACACCCGGGCGGAUGGUACAAUGGAGACUCCCAGUCCGACAGCUCGAGGGUCCGAUCAGGCGAGCCGAUCGGUCGUGCCGCCGUCAGUUGAAGCCGGAGAAGCCGAAGACAACCGC